UACGAGGGGGGCGAGCGUUGUUCGGAAUUAUUGGGCGUAAAGGGCGCGUAGGCGGUGCGGUAAGUCACCUGUGAAACCUCUGGGCUUAACUCAGAGCCUGCAGGCGAAACUGCCGUGCUGGAGUAUGGGAGAGGUAGGCGGAAUUCCUGGUGUAGCGGUGAAAUGCGUAGAUAUCAGGAGGAACACCGGUGGUGUAGACGGCUUACUGGACCAUGACUGACGCUGAGGCACGAAAGCGUGGGGAGCAAACAGG
RNAcentral lists this ribosomal RNA (253 nucleotides) under uncultured bacterium. RNAcentral describes it as "partial 16S ribosomal RNA". It matches the Rfam family "Bacterial small subunit ribosomal RNA", at positions 524 to 776 of the family's 1533-position model. The record is from RNAcentral.